UGCCAGACUCCUACGGGAGGCAGCAGUGGGGAAUAUUGCACAAUGGGGGAAACCCUGAUGCAGCGACGCCGCGUGAAGGAAGAAGUAUUUCGGUAUGUAAACUUCUAUCAGCAGGGAAGAAAAUGACGGUACCUGACUAAGAAGCCCCGGCUAACUACGUGCCAGCAGCCGCGGUAAUACGUAGGGGGCAAGCGUUAUCCGGAUUUACUGGGUGUAAAGGGAGCGUAGGCGGUUUAGCAAGUCAGAAGUGAAAGCCCGGGGCUCAACUCCGGGACUGCUUUUGAAACUGUUGAACUAGAGUGCGGGAGAGGUAAGUGGAAUUCCUAGUGUAGCGGUGAAAUGCGUAGAUAUUAGGAGGAACACCAGUGGCGAAGGCGGCUUACUGGACUGUAAAUGACGCUGAGGCUCGAAAGCGUGGGGAGCAAACAGGAUUAGAUACCCGCGUAUU
RNAcentral lists this ribosomal RNA (448 nucleotides) under uncultured bacterium. RNAcentral's name for it is "partial 16S ribosomal RNA". It matches the Rfam family "Bacterial small subunit ribosomal RNA", at positions 329 to 794 of the family's 1533-position model. The record is from RNAcentral.